CAAUAGCGUAUAUUAAAGUUGUUGCAGUUAAAAGCUCGUAGUUGGACUUCUGAUGUGAAAGAUCGGUCCACCGCAAGGUGAGCACUGAUUCUUCGCGUCUUCCUCUCGUAGUUGUUUCGCGCACUUAGUUGGGUGCGAGAUGAAUAUGGGACCUUUACUUUGAAAAAUUAGAGUGUUCAAAGCAGGCAAUCGCUUGAAUACAUUAGCAUGGAAUAAUAGAAUAGGACUUUGGUUCUAUUUUGUUGGUUUCUAGGACCGAGGUAAUGAUUAAUAGGGACAGUUGGGGCGAUUAUAUUUAAUUAGUCAGAGGUGAAAUUACUUUGGUAUUUAAUUGAAAGAACUAACUAACUGCGAAAGACAUUUGUCCAAGGAAUGUUUUCUAUUAAUACAAGAACGGAAAGUUAAGGGGAGUCGAAGACGAUCAGAUACCAU
RNAcentral lists this ribosomal RNA (432 nucleotides) under uncultured eukaryote. RNAcentral describes it as "bacterial SSU rRNA". It matches the Rfam family "Eukaryotic small subunit ribosomal RNA", at positions 592 to 1018 of the family's 1831-position model. The record is from RNAcentral.